Molecule: long non-coding RNA, 489 nt
Organism: Labeo rohita (rohu)
Lineage: Eukaryota; Metazoa; Chordata; Actinopteri; Cypriniformes; Cyprinidae
Exons: 3
Source: RefSeq, a predicted model, not a curated record
ACAAUGACAAGGCUGUUGUUGGACUCUUGGCAUUUCUAAUCAUUGUGACGUCAGUUGCGCUCCUCUUCGUGCUCUUCAAAAUUUACCAUGUCAAAAGAAAGCGGGAUGCUGAAGAUGAAGAUUGUGUUUAUCAGGACGUAUCCACUACUUGUGAAUAUGAGAAUGUUCCUAUGCACAGAAUGGAGACAAAACAACAGACCAACUGGGAUGCUGAAGAUGAAGAUUGUGUUUAUCAGGACGUAUCCACUACUUGUGAAUAUGAGAAUGUUCCUAUGCACAGAAUGGAGACAAAACAACAGACCAACUGAAUAUGAAUGGAUGCAGUUUUAUAAACAAAUACUGUGUUAUUGUUAAAAGAAGUACACCAUCAGUUUAGAUGACUGCAUAUGCAAUGGAAGCACAACUUUCACUUCUAGUUGUAAACAUAGAAAUAGAGAAAGAAAUAGAGGUCAUUAACACAGAACCUUUUUUUUUUUUUUUUUUUUUUUU